RNAcentral lists this long non-coding RNA (329 nucleotides) under Elaeis guineensis (African oil palm). Its description in RNAcentral is "long non-coding RNA (EGUI_LNC053472)". The record is from RNAcentral. Lineage: Eukaryota; Viridiplantae; Streptophyta; Magnoliopsida; Arecales; Arecaceae.
GCAUCUAGGGCACACAUCUAACAAUCAAUAGGCUGGAUGACUAGACCCAUUUAAUCUUACCAACCAAGCAUCAGUCGAUCCUCUUUAUCGAUUUUCAUAAUUGUUGUCAAUACAUCAGCCACAUUAGGCUAUCGACCCCAGCCUAAGUCUCAUCGAACCUCCUCGACUACCAUCCUCUUUCAGAGUUUUAUCUAAUCUUUUUUGACUACCUCAUUGAACGCCCUCGGUUAUCAUCCUCUUCUAGAGUCUCAUCGAGUCCUCUUCGGCUACCAACCUCUCUGGGUCUCAUCAAAUGUGUGUUGGAACCUUGCACAAUAAUUCCUCUCUCC